Non-coding RNA from Pelobates cultripes (western spadefoot toad), 577 nucleotides. The record is from the annotation of a GenBank genome assembly. NCBI's taxonomy places the organism in Eukaryota, Metazoa, Chordata, Amphibia, Anura, Pelobatidae.
AUACCACCAUUCCAUGAGCUAAUCUGGGACUAAGCACACAAUUACACCUCGCACAGGUACGCAUGCUUCAUGCAGGCCACGACUUUCCCUUACUGUACGCCAGGGCUUUGUGUAUUGCACCAUGUCACAAGCAGAAGUUUGUUAAAGUUCAAGAACUUCGCUGUUAUAUUCAUGGUAAUUUUUGCCUUUUUCUCUAAGCUUACAAACCAAGCUUCUUACUUAAAACCUCCUGUGCUGUCACUCAGCUGUCACGUCUCCAAAGUCAAACACUCACAAUCAUUCCUAAAUCCAUUUCGUUACGUCUAACCCUUCCACUAAGCUUGAACAUCAUCAUGUCUCCUCCGCUGGUCUCUUUUAGCAAGCACUACAGCAGCAGCUUCAAACACUUACACCCCAGUCUACAUCACAAAGCGAUGGAAUCACAAGAAAGCAUCAGCUCAGGUACUUUCAUACCUUAAUCAGAGUAAAGCUCCUUACAAGCUUUCGUUACUCAUUCUGUAUUAACUUGCAAUAAAGUGUGUUUCUUUUAAUCCUCUUUUGCCCUCUUUUUACAGGCCUACUCGUACGUUGGUUUCGG